AGCGAACGCUGGCGGUAGGCCUAACACAUGCAAGUCGAACGGCAGCACAGUAAGAGCUUGCUCUUACGGGUGGCGAGUGGCGGACGGGUGAGGAAUACAUCGGAAUCUACUUUUUCGUGGGGGAUAACGUAGGGAAACUUACGCUAAUACCGCAUACGACCUACGGGUGAAAGCAGGGGAUCUUCGGACCUUGCGCGAUUGAAUGAGCCGAUGUCGGAUUAGCUAGUUGGCGGGGUAAAGGCCCACCAAGGCGACGAUCCGUAGCUGGUCUGAGAGGAUGAUCAGCCACACUGGAACUGAGACACGGUCCAGACUCCUACGGGAGACAGCAGUGGGGAAUAUUGGACAAUGGGCGCAAGCCUGAUCCAGCCAUACCGCGUGGGUGAAGAAGGCCUUCGGGUUGUAAAGCCCUUUUGUUGGGAAAGAAAAGCAGCAGGUUAAUACCCCGCUGUUCUGACGGUACCCAAAGAAUAAGCACCGGCUAACUUCGUG
RNAcentral lists this ribosomal RNA (492 nucleotides) under uncultured bacterium. Its description in RNAcentral is "partial 16S ribosomal RNA". It matches the Rfam family "Bacterial small subunit ribosomal RNA", at positions 29 to 507 of the family's 1533-position model. The record is from RNAcentral.